GUUAAACCAGUAAGUUAAGUUAUAUAUUUUGGUAAAAAGACAGUUAGGCAUAAAUUAGCUUAUUGAUUUCCCUUAUAAAAGUAAAAUUUAAUAUGGGUGUAAUAAAAUAAUAAUAGCUUUAUUGUUGAAUCUGUGAUAUCUUUAAGGGAAACUGGGAUUGGAUACCCCAUUAUUUCUAGAUGUAAAUAAAGAAAUUUACCAGAGUACUACAAAUAAAAUAAUUUAAAACUCAAAGAGCUUGGCGGUAUUUUAGACCACUUAGGGGAACCUGUCUCAUAAUCGACAAUCCACGUUAAACCUUACCUUUUUUAGUAAUCAACUUGUAUACCGUUGUCAUCAGGUAACUUUUAAAGAAAAAAGAAGUUAGCUAAGAAAUUUUAUUGGAUUAAGAUGUCAAAUCAAGGUGCAGUUUAUAAAAAGGAGAAGAUGGGUUACAAUUAUAAAUUAUAAUACGAAUAUGCAUAUUGUAAAUAGCUUGAAGGAGGACUUAAAAGUAAAUUUUUAUAUAAAAAUAACUUGAACAAGGCUCUAAAAUGUGCACACAU
RNAcentral lists this ribosomal RNA (545 nucleotides) under Theta polita. Its description in RNAcentral is "partial small subunit ribosomal RNA". The record is from RNAcentral. Lineage: Eukaryota; Metazoa; Mollusca; Gastropoda; Neogastropoda; Raphitomidae.